This 643-nucleotide small RNA is filed under the name Pongo abelii (Sumatran orangutan). Its description in RNAcentral is "retained intron". The record is from RNAcentral. Lineage: Eukaryota; Metazoa; Chordata; Mammalia; Primates; Hominidae.
UAUUAACUCAUUGCAUGAACAGGGAAGCUGAGAUGCUGGCCAAUAAAGUGGCAUAAGAAAGGGCCUCCAAAAGAUUGUUGGUAAGGGAGGGACCCAGGUAUGCCCAGUUCGUUUACAGUGGAUGAGCUCACAUCCCUCAUGUGCUGGCCCUUUGCCUAUGAACACAGAAACCAACUUGCUUUGGCCUCUUUUAUUUGCCCUUGCUCCUUUCCACCUGCUGUACCCAGACCCCUCCACCAGCCCUAGUGAGCUCCUCUUGGGAAGUUCACUCAGGGACAGAACCUUCUCCCACCUCAGGUGGUUGGUUUUGACGGCUCCUCCACGGUUGAUGAGUUCCUCCAGCGGCUGAACCAGGAGAUAGGCAUGAGAAAGCCAUCCCACUCUGGCUUUGCCCUCUUCACGGACGAUCCCUCGGGCAGGGACCUGGAGCACUGCCUGCAGGGAAGUGUCAAGAUCUGCGAUGCCAUCUCCAAGUGGGAACAAGCCAUGAAGGAGCUGCACCCCGGAAAGUCUGAGGGUGGGACACGCGUCGUGAAGCUGAUGUACAAGAACAGGCUGUACUUUCGCAGUCAAGUCAAAGGGGAGACGGACCGAGAACGGCUGCUCCUUGCCUCUCAAACUAGUAGAGAGAUAGUGGCAGGGA